Molecule: ribosomal RNA, 253 nt
Filed under: uncultured bacterium
Lineage: Bacteria
Description: partial 16S ribosomal RNA
Rfam family: Bacterial small subunit ribosomal RNA
Source: RNAcentral
UACAGAGGGUGCAAGCGUUAAUCGGAAUCACUGGGCUUAAAGCGUGUGUAGGCGGACUUCUAAGUACCUUGUGAAAUCCCACGGCUCACCCGUGGAACUGCUCGGUAUACUGGUCGUCUUGAGCCUUCUAGGGGCGAGUGGAACAAAUGGUGGAGCGGUGAAAUGCGUAGAUAUCAUUUGGAACGCCAAUGGUGAAAACAACUCGCUGGGGAAGUGCUGACGCUGAGACACGAAAGCCAGGGGAGCGAACGGG